RNAcentral lists this ribosomal RNA (440 nucleotides) under uncultured bacterium. RNAcentral's name for it is "partial 16S ribosomal RNA". It matches the Rfam family "Bacterial small subunit ribosomal RNA", at positions 338 to 795 of the family's 1533-position model. The record is from RNAcentral.
CCUACGGGUGGCAGCAGUAGGGAAUAUUGCUCAAUGGGGGAAACCCUGAAGCAGCAACGCCGCGUGGGGGAUGAAGGUUUUCGGAUUGUAAACUCCUUUUGUUAGAGAAGAUAAUGACGGUAUCUAACGAAUAAGCACCGGCUAACUCCGUGCCAGCAGCCGCGGUAAUACGGAGGGUGCAAGCGUUCCUCGGAAUCACUGGGCGUAAAGAGCGCGUAGGCGGGAUGGCAAGUCAGAUGUGAAAUCCUAGGGCUUAACCAUAGAACUGCAUUUGAAACUGUUAUUCUAGAGUAUGGGAGAGGUAGGGGGAAUUCUUGGUGUAGGGGUAAAAUCCGUAGAGAUCAAGAGGAAUACGCAUGGCGAAGGCGACCUGCUAGAACAUAACUGACGCUGAUGCGCGAAAGCGUGGGGAGCAAACAGGAUUAGAUACCCUUGUAGUC